RNAcentral lists this ribosomal RNA (141 nucleotides) under uncultured bacterium. RNAcentral's name for it is "partial 16S ribosomal RNA". It matches the Rfam family "Bacterial small subunit ribosomal RNA", at positions 355 to 516 of the family's 1533-position model. The record is from RNAcentral.
UGGGGAAUAUUGGGCAAUGGGCGAAAGCCUGACCCAGCAACGCCGCGUGAAGGAAGAAGGCUUUCGGGUUGUAAACUUCUUUUGACAGGGAAGAGCAGAAGACGGUACCUGUCGAAUAAGCCACGGCUAACUAACGUCGCC